GCCAGGCGCGGUGGUACAUGCCUGUAAUCCCGGCAGCUGGGAGGCUGAGACAGGAGGAUCCCGAGUUCAAAGCCAGCCUCAGCAAAAGCGAGGAGCUAAGCAACUCAGUGAGACCCUGCCUCUA
This 124-nucleotide small RNA is filed under the name Marmota monax (woodchuck). Lineage: Eukaryota; Metazoa; Chordata; Mammalia; Rodentia; Sciuridae. The record is from RNAcentral.